UUUGUAGAAUGAUGUUCAAUGCAAGUUCCAAGAAUGUUGCAAGACCUCAUCAUAAUAAAAAAUGUACACAUUCCAAGAUCUUGAAUAAUAGGUAAAUGAUUUUUCUUCUAAUUAUUUCUAACCUCCUUAUAUUGGGUCAUUUCAGAAAACAUCCAUACCACCCCCACGGGGGAAAUUGGAAGUUAACCCCCUUCGGAUGUCCUUAUACAUUUACUAUUAUCAGAGACAAUUUUGUCUCCCCUCCCCCUUCGGACGGCAGACAUGUCCUCCGUGGGGGGAGUGUGGAUCUUUUCUGGAACGACCCAUUUCUUUGGACAAUUUUCUUUGUAAGGCGUAAAACAAAUACCCUGUGCUUCCGGUUUCCGACUGACCCUAUUUUUUCUGCCGACCCUAGUAUUUUUUUAACACGAUUGACCGAUUGACUGUGUGACCCUAUUUUCUUCAGGUGGUUGCAGGCUGCUCAUACAGCGUGCCAAAAUGGCAUCUAUUGCACACUAUAAAUUAUUGCCUAAAUUGUUCCAUAGGAAAUACCUAGUUAAUAUUGACUCUACUGCAAAAUCGCCCAGCAAAAAACUGUCAAAACCAUGAAAAAAUGACCUACCGACCCUAAUUUUUUUCACGAUAUGAAACCGGAACCACAGGUAUUUUUUUAAGCCUAAUAUAUUAAUUUAUUUCAUGUUCUCAAUAGUGAGUUUUUUUAAUUUUCUAGAUGUGUGUUGCAAUUUCAAAGAAUGUUUCAGGUUGUUGGUCGAAGAAGUGUCUAUGAUCACAAAAAUGAGCACUGUCAUUGGAAAGUAUAUAAAAGGUUUUAAAAUUUUCCUGUCUUAUCUUACAUGAAGUGUUUUGAAAAUUAUACGAUUGCUUGUGAUCAAUAGUUUCAAAAAAUCCCGGCAGAAUAUUGCGAAAUAUAGCAUGAUCAUGUUUCUUACAACACAAAAUACAACAAAAAUAAUAAACACAAUCUUUUACGCCUAAAUAUUUCUUGUUGUAUUAAUUUCGAAAAUUUCCGUUUUGUGGUUCCUCGUUUACUUGAUUAAUUUUUGUGUCACUGAUCACAAAAUUUUUAUAAUUUUCAAAGAAUAUAAGCAUUUUAUGAGCAAGCCAGGAAUUGACAAACUAUCUGUGUUUUGAAAAAAAAAUUUAAACAGUGAUGAUUUUGAGUUUAUCUGUAUUCUAUCUGAGAACAUAGUUGUUUCUACAUAUUUUCAAAGUUUUUGUCAAAUAUAAAAAAUUGAAAAGUUUGUCAAUGUUUGGCUCCGUUAGAUCAGUUAAACAUUGAGAAGAUUGAGGUGGUUUUUAUUACAAACCAAAGCAGUUGCUUACAAAUAAAAUAUGUGACUUUAUUUCAGGAUUGAGUAUUUUCUUUUUGUCAUCUUUCAUGUUUCGGUAUUAAAUUGGAGUAUGUUUUCAUUGAAGGAUUAAAAGAACAUUGAUGAACAUUUGUCUCAUUGCAAUUUGUGUUUUGAACUUGUCAAAGUGCAUUGUGAAAACAGUAAACUUAUGGUCCAUCUCAAUCUUCUCUUGUUUAAGUGGACUUUCAGUGUUUGUUGAAAGUUUGGAAUGUUCAUCUGAAAAUCACAAUGUUUCAUUAAAUGUUGAUUCUGGAUGUUUUCAAAUAUUGAAUCUUACGAAAAGCAAUUAGUGAUCAAUUGAAGUAUACAAUACUUUUAAAAUUAGCACUGUUAGAACUGCCUCGUUGUUUAAUAGUCCUGUCUUAUUUAUCCCAGCACACUCUUAAUACAUGAGUUUGGUUGUUCCUGGACACAGAUAAAACGGAUUUGUCGAUGAACAAGGCAGUUCUAUACAGUACUGGCUUAUAGAAGGGUUGUGUUCUUCAGUUUUUUUAUUCUUGGCCAAUUUAUACAUUGUGGUUUUCAAUGACUUUGUGAUUUUUAAAAAACUUUCCCAACUUUAAAACAAACAGUUAAGGUCAAAAUAAGCUAGGAUAUUGCCCUUAUUUAAUUACAAAGUGGAACUUAUUUGGAUAUGGAUGAACUCAAGCUCAGCAAACUAUACUUAAUUUGGGGGGUAAUGUGAGUCGGAGAAAAUAAAAGAAAAUCUGAUUCUCAUGCAUGGCAAGGAAAACCACAACCAGACUACAGGAUGAUGUUCUUUGGAAUAUGUUUUGUAUUAUAGGGAAGGAAAAACCAUCAGCAAUGAAAAGUAUAUAUUAAUUUUUUGGUAAAGCAAUCCAAUAAUUGGAAUAUUGAGGCUGAAAAUAAGAUUGAUCGUUCUUUGUCCUAUAUCUUAAUAAAUGCA
RNAcentral lists this long non-coding RNA (2259 nucleotides) under Paramuricea clavata. The record is from RNAcentral. Lineage: Eukaryota; Metazoa; Cnidaria; Anthozoa; Malacalcyonacea; Plexauridae.